RNAcentral lists this ribosomal RNA (439 nucleotides) under uncultured bacterium. RNAcentral describes it as "partial 16S ribosomal RNA". It matches the Rfam family "Bacterial small subunit ribosomal RNA", at positions 339 to 795 of the family's 1533-position model. The record is from RNAcentral.
CUACGGGCGGCUGCAGUGAGGAAUAUUGCACAAUGGGGGAAACCCUGAUGCAGCAACGCCGCGUGGAGGAUGACGCAUUUCGGUGUGUAAACUCCUUUUAUGAGUCAAGAAAAUGACGGUAGCUCAUGAAUAAGCACCGGCUAACUCCGUGCCAGCAGCCGCGGUAAUACGGAGGGUGCAAGCGUUACUCGGAAUCACUGGGCGUAAAGGACGCGUAGGCGGGCUUGUAAGUCAGGUGUGAAAUCCUACAGCUUAACUGUAGAACUGCACUUGAAACUACGAGCCUAGAGUAUGGGAGGGGCAGAUGGAAUUAGUGGUGUAGGGGUAAAAUCCGUAGAUAUCACUAGGAAUACCGAAAGCGAAGGCGAUCUGCUGGAACAUUACUGACGCUAAGGCGUGAAAGCGUGGGGAGCAAACGGGAUUAGAUACCCCGGUAGUC